UACGGGGGGGGUAAGCGUUGCUCGGAAUUACUGGGCGUAAAGGGCUCGUAGGCGGCCAACUAAGUCAUACGUGAAAUCCCUCAGCUUAACUGGGGAACUGCGUGUGAUACUGGAUGGCUUGGAUUUGGGAGAGGGAUGCGGAAUUCCAGGUGUAGCGGUGAAAUGCGUAGAUAUCUGGAGGAACACCGGUGGCGAAGGCGGCAUCCUGGACCAAUAUUGACGCUGAGGAGCGAAAGCCAGGGGAGCAAACGGG
Molecule: ribosomal RNA, 253 nt
Filed under: uncultured bacterium
Lineage: Bacteria
Description: partial 16S ribosomal RNA
Rfam family: Bacterial small subunit ribosomal RNA
Source: RNAcentral